GUGGGAGAAAAUCGGACACGGAAAGGGCUUGAAUUAUUCGAGUUACCUGUUUCACAGUAUACACUAUAUUAUAAAGCUUCCUGCAUAGGGGUUCUUCGACUUAAUGAUUAAUUAUCAUGUCGCUAAUAUUCUUAUUGUUUUUGAAACCCAUAUCUGGUUUAGAUUUAAAAAUUCGUUUGGCAAUCGGGUCUUUCAGAAUUAUAUACGAGAACUUUGUUAUAAUUUUUUAAAGAUAUUUAGCAUUAUAAUGAUACGUUGUCUGCCUGUUAUUUUGUUUCUUCCGAAGUUUUAACUGUCUGUCUUCGUGACGAAUUUUGUGCAAUAUUUGACUGACGAUUUCUUUCGUGUAUCCCCGUCUUGAUAAUUUAUCUAUAAACAGUUUAAUACGUUUAUUAACAUGGUCCUUAUUGCUGGUGUUUCUAACAAUUGUAAUUCCUUGUCCUUCAAAAACAGAAGAGAAACAGGUAGGGGCAUGACUAUGAGCUUCUAUGUUAAUUUUUUUUAUCUUGUAUAUUUAUUCAACUUCAUCUCAUCAUCUCAUUUUUACAAUAUUUACAUAUGUAAUAGAAAACAUCAAGUCCCUAUACUCUUUGGCUUCCUCAUUCUUACUCUAUCAUUCAUUUUUUUUAAUUCUUUUUUUUGAACUUUUUUUUUUUUAUUAUCUCACACACGGUUAAAAUAUUAUCUCAAAGUAUUGUCAGACAAUUAAAUAGUUAUUAAACAUGUUAAAUCUAAUAUCUAAAGUCAAUAUUUUCCAUAAUAGUAAAAGUGUCUUUAUCAAAAGUCAAAGAUUC
This 794-nucleotide long non-coding RNA is filed under the name Mytilus galloprovincialis (Mediterranean mussel). The record is from RNAcentral. Lineage: Eukaryota; Metazoa; Mollusca; Bivalvia; Mytilida; Mytilidae.